RNAcentral lists this ribosomal RNA (272 nucleotides) under uncultured bacterium. Its description in RNAcentral is "partial 16S ribosomal RNA". It matches the Rfam family "Bacterial small subunit ribosomal RNA", at positions 524 to 796 of the family's 1533-position model. The record is from RNAcentral.
GACGUAGGUGGCGAGCGUUACCCGGAUUCACUGGGCGUAAAGGGCGCGUAGGCGGUUUGGCAAGUCGUCUGUGAAAGCCCCCGGCUCAACUGGGGGAGGCCGUCCAAUACUGGGGGGCUUGAGUGCAGGAGAGGGAAGUGGAAUUCCCGGUGUAGCGGUGAAAUGCGUAGAUAUCGGGAAGAACACCAGUGGCGAAGGCGGCUUCCUGGACUGUAACUGACGCUGAGGCGCGAAAGCUGGGGGAGCGAACAGGAUUAGAUACCGCGUAGUCC